Meleagris gallopavo (turkey) is the source of this 461-nucleotide non-coding RNA. Lineage: Eukaryota; Metazoa; Chordata; Aves; Galliformes; Phasianidae. The record is from RefSeq and is a predicted model, not a curated record.
UCAGCCAGAGGGGCUCCUUUGGCUGAGGACAUCAACCCCUGUAAUUGCAGGAGGGAGCCCACCAGGACACACAGUCAGAACAGCAGCUGCAGCUCCUCUGCUCACUACUCAGCCGUCUUCUACAGAGAGGACACAGUGGCUGUCCUGAUCCCUGAAGGCAGGGACCUGGGCCUGGCAUUCCCCAGGCAUUCAGUAUGGGCUGGGAGCAGUGCCAGUCCUGCAGCGCAGCAAAGGGCAGAAAGCAAUGAGGUUGGCUGUCCACAGUGGGACUGAGAAGAUAGAGGCCCCAGCGCCCGUUCUUCUUGCUGCAGUAGGAUAGGCAGCAACCCUGGGAACAGCAGAGAGAUGCCUGCGUGGGCACCUCCUCUCCUUGCUGUGGCGUGGUACUCUGAGACAAGAAGAAAGCCAAGGGGAGGACAUGAGCAGGAACACUGAAAGGGACGGAGGGAACAGUGAGAGCU